This 274-nucleotide long non-coding RNA is filed under the name Nicotiana benthamiana. Its description in RNAcentral is "long non-coding RNA (NBEN_LNC032440)". The record is from RNAcentral. Lineage: Eukaryota; Viridiplantae; Streptophyta; Magnoliopsida; Solanales; Solanaceae.
UUUUAUGAUACAGGUUGUUCUACAACGAGAAUCAUCGGCUAACGAUAGCAGUAUUCUCUUCCCAGUAGACUUGGUGAGCCCCACUCUAACCCGGGGUCGUGUCAUGUAUCGUUUAUUCACUUCUCAUCAUGUUUUGAGGUAUAGUCGGAGCCUUGUUACCGUCAUUUCCCUAUUUCUCUUCUUUUGUACUUAGAGGCUUUGUAGACUGCUUAUGGGUGGUAGUUGAUAUUGGGCUUCAGGACUAGAAAUAUUAAUAUUUGACAAACAUGCUUUU